CCUUUAGAUGUUCUGGGCCGCACGCGCGCUACACUGAUGCAUUCAACAAGCCUAGCCUUGACCGAGAGGUCCGGGUAAUCUUUGAAACUGCAUCGUGAUGGGGCUAGAUUAUUGCAAUUAUUAAUCUUCAACGAGGAAUGCCUAGUAAGCGUGAUUCAUCAAAUCGCGUUGAUUACGUCCCUGCCCUUUGUACACACCGCCCGUCGCUCCUACCGAUUGAAUGUGUUGGUGAGGAGCUCGGAUUGGCAGCAGUUGGUGGUUCGCCACCGGCUAUUGCUGAGAAGUCCUCCAAACCGCCCCAUUUAGAGGAAGGAGAAGUCGUAACA
Molecule: ribosomal RNA, 326 nt
Filed under: uncultured eukaryote
Lineage: Eukaryota
Description: partial 18S ribosomal RNA
Rfam family: Eukaryotic small subunit ribosomal RNA
Source: RNAcentral